AACACAUUUAAUACACAGAAAACAUGAGUUAUCAUUUUAAUUUACAAAUCCUGACUUAAACCAGAUUAUUUUUUCUUUAUAAAUUACAUUUGAACCUGUCUUGUACACAAGAACAAUUGUACAGCGCUGUUAUUAUCAAUUGUAUUUGUUUGAUUGGUAUUUAGCGUUGUAUUGGGGUUCAUACGAUUUGGGGCAUAAUAUGUUGGUGGAUAUGCCUUUUUUGAUGGUGCAUACGAUUUUGAUGCUUUCAAAUUUGUCAGUUCGCUGGCAUGAUUCAACACUGCGGUCUUUGUUUU
RNAcentral lists this long non-coding RNA (296 nucleotides) under Mytilus galloprovincialis (Mediterranean mussel). Lineage: Eukaryota; Metazoa; Mollusca; Bivalvia; Mytilida; Mytilidae. The record is from RNAcentral.